This 248-nucleotide long non-coding RNA is filed under the name Panax ginseng (ginseng). Its description in RNAcentral is "long non-coding RNA (PGIN_LNC003691)". Lineage: Eukaryota; Viridiplantae; Streptophyta; Magnoliopsida; Apiales; Araliaceae. The record is from RNAcentral.
AUGCUCUCUCGCAUUCCCUUUCUCUCCACUAUACUUAGGGAACUGCGGUGGAUGUUCAAUGUACCCAGCAGGGUAUGGUUGUCUUCUCACGUGCGUCGGGUAUGGUGGGGUGAAAUCCAGUUCCACAGGCCUGACUGUCUGCCUACGCAUCUGAUUGAUUACAUCCAUCAUGUCUUCCCUUGUCACAUAUUGACCGGUUCCUGGAGCCUUUUGGGACGUCAUCGCAUACUGGUUUAUCUGCGGUGUAU